ACGGACAAACAAAACACGCUUCGUAUAUCCCCGGAAAUACGGUCCGGAAGUCUCUACCAGGUUACCGUAAAUAACCUGACUAUGAAGGUGGAUUUUUUCCCG
Molecule: non-coding RNA, 102 nt
Filed under: Salisediminibacterium beveridgei
Lineage: Bacteria; Bacillati; Bacillota; Bacilli; Caryophanales; Bacillaceae
Description: Bacillus beveridgei Guanine sequence
Rfam family: Purine riboswitch aptamer
About the family: Riboswitches are metabolite binding domains within certain messenger RNAs that serve as precision sensors for their corresponding targets. Allosteric rearrangement of mRNA structure is mediated by ligand binding, and this results in modulation of gene expression.
Source: Rfam by way of RNAcentral